This is a long non-coding RNA of Lingula anatina, 295 nucleotides long. NCBI's taxonomy places the organism in Eukaryota, Metazoa, Brachiopoda, Lingulata, Lingulida, Lingulidae. The record is from RefSeq and is a predicted model, not a curated record.
GCUCGCAAGACCUGACCUGCACAGAGGCUGGGCUCUGAAGAGUCAAGUAGCUGUUGACCACAGUAUUACGCCGUCCGGGUUUUAGGUGGAAACCUCAAGUGCUAUGUCGGUAACAACGGCCAUUUUAGUGGCAUCAUUUGCAGUCUUAGUCAUUGUGACCAAUGCAGAAGUAAAAUACUUCGGCUCUCCAUUGGUCAUAACGAGGAGGUUGCGAAAUAACGUUGGCGCCAACAAGCAGUGGUUGGAUCCACUCAAUGUCGUCCGACCAGGCGUUCUUCAGAGUUUCAGCGUGGUA